AGUGAACGCUGGCAGUAGGCCUAACACAUGCAAGUCGAACGGCAGCACAGUAAGAGCUUGCUCUUACGGGUGGCGAGUGGCGGACGGGUGAGGAAUACAUCGGAAUCUACUUUUUCGUGGGGGAUAACGUAGGGAAACUUACGCUAAUACCGCAUACGACCUACGGGUGAAAGCAGGGGAUCUUCGGACCUUGCGCGAUUGAAUGAGCCGAUGUCGGAUUAGCUAGUUGGCGGGGUAAAGGCCCACCAAGGCGACGAUCCGUAGCUGGUCUGAGAGGAUGAUCAGCCACACUGGAACUGAGACACAGUCCAGACUCCUACGGGAGGCAGCAGUGGGGAAUAUUGGACAAUGGGCGCAAGCCUGAUCCAGCCAUACCGCGUGGGUGAAGAAGGCCUUCGGGUUGUAAAGCCCUUUUGUUGGGAAAGAAAAGCAGCAGGUUAAUACCCCGCUGUUCUGACGGUACCCAAAGAAUAAGCACCGGCUAACUUCGUG
RNAcentral lists this ribosomal RNA (492 nucleotides) under uncultured bacterium. RNAcentral's name for it is "partial 16S ribosomal RNA". It matches the Rfam family "Bacterial small subunit ribosomal RNA", at positions 29 to 507 of the family's 1533-position model. The record is from RNAcentral.